This 2789-nucleotide long non-coding RNA is filed under the name Sarcophilus harrisii (Tasmanian devil). Its description in RNAcentral is "lncRNA (ENSSHAG00000028740.1)". The record is from RNAcentral. Lineage: Eukaryota; Metazoa; Chordata; Mammalia; Dasyuromorphia; Dasyuridae.
ACAACUUUGAAAAACUUUAGAAGUCUAAGGCAGAUAAACAGUGUAAAAUAAUUUAGAUGAAAGAGUCACUCAUCUCCUUCCAAAGAGGUGAUCUUAAAAUGCAUUGAGACAUGAUCAAUGUGGUAAUGUUUUUUUUUAAUAGGACGAUGCAACUGUGUUUUAAGGACUUUAUUUUAGGGAAUUAAAAAAAAACACUUGCUCAAUGUUGGGGUUGUGGGAGAGGCAGAAUAAAAGAAAAAUGUAAAAGAUGAUUCUGGGAGGGGGAGAGGGAGCUAUGUGGGAAAUUUGGAUACAUAAUAUCUGGCACGUAGUAGCACUUACAUGUUUAUUAUUAUGGAUGGAUAUAAAAACAAAAUAUCGAAAAAAAAAUUAAAUUGUCACUUCACAACUGAUUAUCCAUUCUCCAAUGUCUCAAAUUUAGAUACUUAUAUGUUUCAAAGAGUUAAAGAGUAUCUAAAUGAUAGAUUACCUUCUUAAUCUUUAGACAAAUGUUUUAAAUGGAAUCUUUCUACCUAAAGUUUGGAAGCAGAAGGAAGGAAGCGCGCAUUUAUUAGCCACCAGCCGUCUUCGCUCACUGUGAGCGCCUGGCGAAUAUAAUCUCAUUUGAUCAAAUUGAGGUAGAUACUCUUCUCUCCGGGGACAGACGGAGCUCAGAUUUGCGGAGAAUCUCUCGGCCCCUUUCGAACUCACUCCACUGGCCAGAGAGCUGCGUCCGCCAUUCCACUCGAAAGCCUCAGAAGGGGUGAGCAAGGUUAAGAGAAGAGGGACGGGAAAGAAAAGCGAAAGCUUCGCGUCGGGCGAAGAGGCUUUGCAAGGAAGCGUCGGUGUCCUUAGGUGGAGCGCUUCCCGCCCUCAGGGAGCUUCCAUUCUAACUGGGGGUAAGGCUCGGAAUACGACAGGGCCCCGGACACAGAGGGUUCCUCGGACAAUGGGGUUCUGGAAGGCGUCACCCACGAGGCAGAGGUAAGGAGUACAGGGUCGGGGGCGACCCCCUGGCCAUUGUUCAGCCGCACAAUUGAUGGACGUUGAGCGUUCUCCAUCCGCAGCCACCGAACUUCCAGAGGAUUGGGAGACUAGCUAGCGUCGGGAAGGAGAGCCCCACUUCCGCGCCUCCGCCUUCUCUCCUGCCUCUUCGGCCCGCCUCCCUCUCUCCCCCCCCCGCUGCGUCACCCCCUUCUUGGUCCUUAGUAACAGAAUAAACACCGAGCAGGCUCCGCCCCUCGGGAGGAAGGUGGCGAAAUGGACGUUGGCGUGCUCGCGCGCGAGUGACUUUGACCGAAGCUGCAGUUACUGGGAGCAGUCUACGAUGGAUUGUGAACUGACCCUGUGAUCACAAGUCAACGGAAAGCAAGGCUUUAUCAUGCCAGGUAAAGGCAAAAAGGUAAAAGGCCGGGGACAGAGCCGGGGUGGGAAGAAAGGAAAAAAGCCUGAAGUGGACAUCCUUCACCCAGCUACCAUGCUGAACCUGUAUUACAUCGCCCACAAUGUUGCUGACUGCCUACAAUUCCGUGGUUUCCGCUGGCCAGGGGCUGGCAAGAAAAAGAAAGGAAAGAAGAUAUAACAGUGGAUGGAUGGAUGGAUGCCUUUAUAGCAUAUCUUCAUAACCAUGAAUUGUAACUAUUAACAGAAAUGUACAGUGAAGGGAUACAACCAAAACAGCCACUGAAGCAGAUUAAACUUUAAUGAAAACACCUUGAACUGGAGAAUGACUAGAGCUCUUGGAGUUAAGGAUAAAGGAAUGGAAUUAUCACUUAACGCUUGUGCCCAAGGGAAACAUUAAAUUUCUUUUUUUUUUUCUUUUUUUUUUUUUUUUUUUUAGGAACUUAAGGCAAAAAUGUGUCUAAGUAGUUAUCAAACUGGGUGGUUGAUUUCAGAAUACUGUUUGGUUCUAAUCAUUCUUUGUUACAUGUCAGAAUUAAAUUUUGCUUGGUGAAUCUAGUUCUCUUGCACUCAUUUUCUGCUGAUAACAGUAAAUGUGAACCUCCUCAUCCCUGAAGAGAGAGGCAGGUGAUUAUCCAUAUGAAGUUGCGGCAUGCUGUGCCAUAAUAAUGUCCAUCUCUGCCUGCCCACCACCACCAUUUUGAGGGGGAAAUAAUUAAGAAAACUAUUUUGUCCGUUUAGUGUGCUCCUCCCCUCCCCCUGACUGUUUUCCUGAUUUGAAAUAACUACAACUGCCUGCAGAGACUCCUCUGAGGCUUUAAUAACAUCAGCAAAAUGUGCUUUGUGCUAGCCAGAGCAUAUAAAAGGAUAAAAACUGCAAGGCACUUGUCAGUCAUUUGAGUGAAUAAAGAAAUGAGCCGGCAUGGAGAUAGUGGAAAGAGCUCAGUAUUUGGUUCCAGAAGACCUGGCUUUGACUCCUGACUGCCACUUAUUGCCCAGGGGAUUCUGUACAAGCCAUUUCGCCUCUCUGGACCUCAGUUUCCACAUUUGUACAAUGUAGAGGUUGGACUAGAUCAGAAGUGUCAAACUCAAUUAGUUAAAAUGUAAUUGGGAAAUGUUUACCAAAAAAAAAAAAAAAAUACAAACAUGUUAAUUUGUGAUUUUCUAAGCCAUGAUGGGACUUACUGGAUUCUGUUUCUAUUUGAGUUUGACACAGCUGGACUAGAUGAUCUCUAUUAUACUAGAUAUAGCUUGUUUGUAUAUAUUAGUUUGCUGCUUGUCUCUUUAGAUUGUGAGCUCUCUGAGGGCAGGGACUCUCUUUUUUGCCUUUCUUUGUAUCCACAAUGUUUAGUACAAUGCCUAGCACAGAGGAGGCAAUUAAUAAAAGUUUAUUAACUGACUGGUCUAUU